RNAcentral lists this ribosomal RNA (428 nucleotides) under uncultured bacterium. RNAcentral's name for it is "bacterial SSU rRNA". It matches the Rfam family "Bacterial small subunit ribosomal RNA", at positions 355 to 774 of the family's 1533-position model. The record is from RNAcentral.
UGAGGAAUUUUGCGCAAUGGGGGAAACCCUGACGCAGCAACGCCGCGUGAGUGAUGAAGGCCCUUGGGUCGUAAAGCUCUGUCAAGUGGGAAGAAAUGGUCGGAGGUUAAUACCCUUUGAUUUUGACGGUACCACUGAAGGAAGCACCGGCUAACUCCGUGCCAGCAGCCGCGGUAAUACGGGGGGUGCAAGCGUUAUUCGGAAUUAUUGGGCGUAAAGCGCGCGUAGGCGGUUACGUAGGUCAGAUGUGAAAUCCCGGGGCUCAACCCCGGAAGUGCAUUUGAAACCCCGUGACUUGAGUAUGGGAGAGGGAAGUGGAAUUCCAGGUGUAGAGGUGAAAUUCGUAGAUAUCUGGAGGAACACCGGUGGCGAAGGCGACUUCCUGGACCAAUACUGACGCUGAGGUGCGAAGGCGUGGGGAGCAAACA